RNAcentral lists this ribosomal RNA (722 nucleotides) under Microsporum canis. RNAcentral describes it as "eukaryotic LSU rRNA". The stretch from base 301 to 454 matches the Rfam family "5.8S ribosomal RNA". The record is from RNAcentral. Lineage: Eukaryota; Fungi; Ascomycota; Eurotiomycetes; Onygenales; Arthrodermataceae.
UGGGGAAAGUUACCGCAUCAUCUCUCGUAGUUGGCCCCGAGCUCUUCCGUCUCCCCCCCGGGCCUCCCGGGGAGGUUGCGGGCGGCUAGGGGUGCCUCCGGCCGCACGCCCAUUCUUGUCUACUGACCCGGUUGCCUCGGCGGGCCGCGCCUGCUGUGCUACAGCGGCCGUUCGGGGGGGACGCCUGAGGGGGACUCUUGUUUCCUAGGCCACGCCCCGGGCAGCGCUCGCCGGAGGAUUACUCUGGAAAACACACUCUUGAAAGAACAUACCGUCUGAGCGAGCAACGCAAUCAGUUAAAACUUUCAACAACGGAUCUCUUGGUUCCGGCAUCGAUGAAGAACGCAGCGAAAUGCGAUAAGUAAUGUGAAUUGCAGAAUUCCGUGAAUCAUCGAAUCUUUGAACGCACAUUGCGCCCCCUGGCAUUCCGGGGGGCAUGCCUGUUCGAGCGUCAUUUCAACCCCUCAAGCCCGGCUUGUGUGAUGGACGACCGUCCCCCCUCCCCAGUAACCACCCACCGCUUAGGGGGGUGGGAGGGAGGGGGACGCGCCCGAAAAGCAGUGGUCAGGCCGCGAUUCCGGCUCCUGGGCGAAUGGGACAUACCACCGCCUCCAGGACCGGCCGGCAGGCUGGCCUAACGCACCAUGUAUUAUUCAUGUUGACCUCGGAUCAGUAGGGAUACCCGCUGAACUUAAGCAUAUCAUAUAACCGGGAAAGAGAAA